CAGUAGCCACGGUAAUACGUAGGGUGCAAGCGUUAAUCGGAAUUACUGGGCGUAAAGCGUGCGCAGGCGGUUUGUUAAGACAGAUGUGAAAUCCCCGGGCUCAACCUGGGAACUGCAUUUGUGACUGGCAAGCUAGAGUGUGGCAGAGGGGGGUGGAAUUCCGCGUGUAGCAGUGAAAUGCGUAGAUAUGCGGAGGAACACCGAUGGCGAAGGCAGCCCCCUGGGCCAACACUGACGCUCAUGCACGAAAGCGUGGGGAGCAAACAGGAUUAGAUACCCCCGUAGUCCCUGUCUCUUAUAC
RNAcentral lists this ribosomal RNA (301 nucleotides) under uncultured bacterium. Its description in RNAcentral is "partial 16S ribosomal RNA". It matches the Rfam family "Bacterial small subunit ribosomal RNA", at positions 509 to 807 of the family's 1533-position model. The record is from RNAcentral.